Non-coding RNA from Plectropomus leopardus (leopard coralgrouper), 456 nucleotides. Lineage: Eukaryota; Metazoa; Chordata; Actinopteri; Perciformes; Serranidae. The record is from RefSeq and is a predicted model, not a curated record.
UUCACUCAUUCAGGUGAUGGACUACAGAUUUUACGGAUUCCUCCCACCUGUUUGUUUUAAUGUCUAAAAGCCACAAGCUAUUCUCCUGUUUUGGCAUCAAUCAGCCUCCAUACAGACAGGCUUUCACCGCGGUUACUCGCCCGCCCUAUAAGAGAAGGGCGCUAACCCAGCAGCUUUGCAAUUAUCUCUACUAGAACUGUAGCCUCUUCCCCCUAAGAGACACGGCACCAAUGAAAGGCCAUUAUGUGAAAAGAACGGACUAACAAACGUGUAUGUGAAGGAUGCCAUCACUCAAUGUCAAUAUGAAGAGGUCUUUACAGCCUGUGCAGCCUUGUACAGAUAAAGCGCCUGAGGAGCCUUAGUAAAUAUUCAGCUGUGUGGACACAUGGAGCACGACACACCAGCCAAGAAGAGAUCCGGACAGAGACGAGCCUGACAGAGCCCUGACUGCAGAGA